Molecule: ribosomal RNA, 320 nt
Filed under: uncultured eukaryote
Lineage: Eukaryota
Description: partial 18S ribosomal RNA
Rfam family: Eukaryotic small subunit ribosomal RNA
Source: RNAcentral
CCCUUAGAUGUUCUGGGCCGCACGCGCGCUACACUGACGAAUGCAACGAGCUUAUAACCUUGUCCGAAAGGUCUGGGUAAUCUCCAAAUUUCGUCGUGAUGGGGAUAGAUUAUUGCAAUUAUUAAUCUUCAACGAGGAAUUCCUAGUAAACGCAAGUCAUCAGCUUGCAUUGAUUACGUCCCUGCCCUUUGUACACACCGCCCGUCGCACCUACCGAUUGAAUGGUCCGGUGAAAUCUCGGGACGGCGGCUUGGUCGCUUGCGUCCGACUGCUGAAACUUGAUUAAACCAUAUCAUUUAGAGGAAGGUGAAGUCGUAACA